Molecule: ribosomal RNA, 485 nt
Filed under: uncultured bacterium
Lineage: Bacteria
Description: partial 16S ribosomal RNA
Rfam family: Bacterial small subunit ribosomal RNA
Source: RNAcentral
GAUUGAACGCUGGCGGCCGGCCUACCACAUGCAAGUCGAGCGGACGACGGGAGCUUGCUCCUGGAUUCAGCGGCGGACGGGUGAGUAAUGCCUAGGAAUCUGCCUGGUAGUGGGGGAUAACGUCCGGAAACGGGCGCUAAUACCGCAUACGUCCUGAGGGAGAAAGUGGGGGAUCUUCGGACCUCACGCUAUCAGAUGAGCCUAGGUCGGAUUAGCUAGUUGGUGGGGUAAAGGCCUACCAAGGCGACGAUCCGUAACUGGUCUGAGAGGAUGAUCAGUCACACUGGAACUGAGACACGGUCCAGACUCCUACGGGAGGCAGCAGUGGGGAAUAUUGGACAAUGGGCGAAAGCCUGAUCCAGCCAUGCCGCGUGUGUGAAGAAGGUCCUCGGAUUGUAAAGCACUUUAAGUUGGGAGGAAGGGCAGUAAGUUAAUACCUUGCUGUUUUGACGUUACCAACAGAAUAAGCACCGGCUAACUUCGUG